AUUGAACGCUGGCGGCAGGCCUAACACAUGCAAGUCGAACGGUAACAGGAAGCAGCUUGCUGCUUUGCUGACGCGUGGCGGACGGGUGAGUAAUGUCUGUGAAACUGCCCGAUGGCGGGGGUUAACUACUGGAAACGGUAGCUAAUACCGCAUAACGUCUCAAGACCAAAGAGGGGUACCUUAGGGCCUCUUUCCAUUGGAUGUGCCCAGAUGGGAUUAGCUAGUAGGUGGGGUAACGGCUCACCUAGGCGACGAUCCCUAGCUGGUCUGAGAGGAUGACCAGCCACACUGGAACUGAGACACGGUCCAGACUCCUACGGGAGGCAGCAGUGGGGAAUAUUGCACAAUGGGCGCAAGCCUGAUGCAGCCAUGCCGCGUGUAUGAAGAAGGCCUUCGGGUUGUAAAGUACUUUCAGCGGGGAGGAAGGGAGUAAAGUUAAUACCUUUGCUCAUUGACGUUACCCGCAGAAGAAGCACCGGCUAACUCCGUG
Molecule: ribosomal RNA, 490 nt
Filed under: uncultured bacterium
Lineage: Bacteria
Description: partial 16S ribosomal RNA
Rfam family: Bacterial small subunit ribosomal RNA
Source: RNAcentral